Molecule: ribosomal RNA, 460 nt
Filed under: uncultured bacterium
Lineage: Bacteria
Description: partial 16S ribosomal RNA
Rfam family: Bacterial small subunit ribosomal RNA
Source: RNAcentral
CCUACGGGGGGCAGCAGUGAGGAAUAUUGGUCAAUGGGCGCGAGCCUGAACCAGCCAAGUAGCGUGAAGGAUGACUGCCCUACGGGUUGUAAACUUCUUUUAUAAAGGAAUAAAGUGAGGCACGUGUGCCUUUUUGUAUGUAUCUUAUGAAUAAGCAUCGGCUAACUCCGUGCCAGCAGCCGCGGUAAUACGGAGGAUCCGAGCGUUAUCCGGAUUUAUUGGGUUUAAAGGGGGCGUAGAUGGGUUGUUAAGUCAGUUGUGAAAGUUUGCGGCUCAACCGUAAAAUUGCAGUUGAUACUGGCAGCCUUGAGUACAGUAGAGGUAGGCGGAAUGCGUGGUGUAGCGGUGAAAUGCUUAGAUAUCACGAAGAACUCCGAUUGCGAAGGCAGCCUACUAGACUGCAACUGACAUUGAUGCUCGAAAGUGUGGGUAUCAAACAGGAUUAGAUACCCUUGUAGUC